This is a long non-coding RNA of Venturia canescens, 987 nucleotides long. RefSeq lists it as uncharacterized. The transcript is spliced from 2 exons. The record is from RefSeq and is a predicted model, not a curated record. NCBI's taxonomy places the organism in Eukaryota, Metazoa, Arthropoda, Insecta, Hymenoptera, Ichneumonidae.
CGAAUUUCCUGAAAAUAAAGAAAAAUUUUAUCAGAAAUUUUCCAAAAGGGAUUUGUUCAUGGUUUUUACUGUGACACGACUCAUCGUCUGGAAAGACGUUUCUUCUGUACGUGGAACUGAUUUUUAGAAGUGUUCGUUGGAAAAAAAUCCUCUGUUCGCACGCUCCGCACGCGUACGCACUCUGGCGAUACAUGGAAGCAAAAUUUUCUCGAGAUUGUGUCUGCUUACAGCGGUCCUAUCACGAAAUUCUUAUCGAUACUUGCGAUAAGAAAACUUUUAUAACGAAAGAGGAACGGACCAACGCGACUAUAUUACAACCGCUAAAUCAUAUUCUUAAUUUAUCAAUAAAACUCAAGUUUUUUUCAAAUACGUUGAGACGCGCGCAUAAUUGACCGAUCGACGAAAUUUUAAGUUUGUCAAACUGUCGGAAAGACAACAACGCCAACACUGUGCUUUACGAAAUAUCCCCGAACACUUCGAUCGCCAUCUGCGUGUUACGAGCCCGAACACAUCUUUCAGUCUUCGACAGACCGUCGUGAAAUUAUAUCCGAUUAUUUAUUUUCCUCCAAAAUGCUUCGCGCCAGUAAACUUUUAACGAAUAUUCCGAAAUCGGUAAAUGUUGUCGCAAGAGGAGAAACCAGCAUGACCACUCCACCUCGUGUGCGAAUCUCCAUAACGGAAAAAGUACUCCAUGGAUUGGUUUUCACUGUCGGCGUAUUGGCAUAUCCGGCGUACAUAUCUGUGAACAUCAAGCACUAUCGAGGACCCGUCGAGGAAUAAUCGCGAAUUGGAGAAUCGAUGCGCCAUCUGUGUUCCAAACGCUGAAAUGUGGAAGCCAUUCGUUUCCUGGUAGUAAAUCAAUUGUUCGGGUAUUUCGGAUUCCUCGUGGCAAUUCACCAUUAAAUUGAUGUGAUCUUAUCCAAUCGUGUAAAGUUCUUUCACCAUCAGCUGAUUUUGCCUACCAAUAAAUAACACGCGUCCAAUCGA